Long non-coding RNA from Triticum dicoccoides, 3458 nucleotides. RefSeq lists it as uncharacterized. The record is from RefSeq and is a predicted model, not a curated record. NCBI's taxonomy places the organism in Eukaryota, Viridiplantae, Streptophyta, Magnoliopsida, Poales, Poaceae. The transcript has 2 exons.
UAAAUGGUCUGCCACCCAGAUCAACGGUUUAGAUCAGAUGUUCUGCCGAGCAGACGCCGCGGUCUGCCAAUUGUCCUAGCGCUCCGCGUCCCGGAUUGAUUCCACCCGAAUCGCGUUGACGAGCUGUUUAUCCCGCUAAUUUCUCUGCUCCAGGCCUCACGCUCGAUCUCCCUCCCAAUUAAUCUCAUCUUCUCUUCCGGAGCGCCAGGCUUGCUUGCCCGAUCUGGCACCGUCCGCCGCCGCUGGGCCUCGCCUAGACCACGCGUCGCCGGCGCUGCCGGCUGUCCGCCCAAACGCCUCCCUCUCCUCUCCCGUUUCUCUCCUUCGCCCGCUGCCGUCGUCCGUCCGACCGGCCGCCGCGCCACGCGCGCCGCCGCACCGGUGCGUCGCCUGCCGAAGCAUGCUCUCACGCCGGCGACCUGCGCCGCCCCACCGCCGGCCCUCCUGGACGCCAUCUUCACCACCGUUCCUCCUAUCCGCCGUCGCACCGGUGCAUCGCCCGCCGGAGCAUGCUCUCAAGCCAGUGACCUGCGCCGCCCCACCGCCGGCCCUCCUCGACGCCACCUUCACCACCGCUCCUCCUAUCUGCCGCCGCCCCACGCACGCCGUCACCACACACCUCUAGCCGGCGGCCUCUCCUUACGCGUGUGUCGCGGGUCGACGCCUGCCGCUCCUCUGUGGUCUCGCCUGAUAGCCCUGUCAGAUGCGGGGAGGAGGACGAGGUCGCCGCAGAGAGGUCGCCCCGCCUGCUACCGGAUCCGCUCAUGGACAUCGUGCCGCGCAUCGACGUCGGCACCAAGCAGUGCCUCCCGCUCCGAAUGCGUCAGGCAAACCGCUCUGAAUCGUGCAGUGAUAUUUUGAUCUAAUUGUUCCAGAGGUACGCAGUUGCUUUUCUCUGCUAAUAACAUCUUGGAGGUGGCAUGCCUUUGGUGAAGGAAUUGGAAGCUGGCGUUGGUUUUAUUAGAGGAUCCGUCCAGGUCAGACGUUCUUAUCACUAAAUAUGGUGAACGGGGGUCUGAAAUGGGAACUGUCAAUUACAGGCAUGCGUAUUGUUUGACAUUCUUCAGAAGUAGUGCUAGGCAUGCGUAUUGUUUGACAUUCUUCAGAAGUGCCAUUUCCUGUCAAGUUGAAUGAGAUGCUAUUGACAUCUACCAUCUGAAAAAAAGGAGAUUGGUUUGUGUUGUGCAAUUGGGUUGACUAGGCUUUUAUUAAUUUUACAUUCAGGAAGAUAUGCUCCUCCGCGUGAGCCACACCAAUCUCAAAGGCCUCUUCCACUGUCGUCAAAGGUACUUCAUCAUGCUUGCUACUAUAAGGAAGGAAGUGGAACCACGGUUCAUAAAUAAUAAGAUUUUUCUGUCUGUUUUUUAUUCACACUGUACUGCAACGGUUAUCUACUUGCAAUCAACCACUACAUCUAAUGCUUCCUAGAUCUGGAACGUCAAGGUGUGGUUUCCUUGUUUUUCACUAUUCCAUUUGACGCUUCAUUUUCAAAAUACAUGAAAAUUCCUUGGAGAAAUGUCUACUUUAUCUACAACAAUUAUCGCUACUGUCUUAUUGAAGAACUGAUUCCAGCGACUAGAUUGUGACAUGAUGAAAUGCCCCCUCUAUCUUCAAGGAUUGCUAGGAAUAUUUUUGGUAUUUUGGUAAUGCUAUUGGAGUGAGUUUGCAACGCCUAUUUGAUAAUGAUCAUUGCGUGAUUUUUUCAGUCAGAGAGAGAUUUGUGCCAAAAACAAAUGCACAAAUACCAAAUUUUCGAACCCUCUUGAAAUUAAUGUAUUUGGUUAAAUGACACCGUUGUAUGGCAUUAUUGUACAAAGACGUGAUGCUGGAUCAUGCGAACAAACUUAGUGGUGUAUAUACUUGCAUAGGCAAUUUGUGAAGCUUACAUAUUUGAUAUUUGAGAUGAUGUUUUUGAUGGUAUAUCAUUUGUUAUGUUGAUGCAAAUAACCUUGACAUAUGCCUAUUUUAUUGACUGUUUUUUUUCAGAAUUUUUUGUCGACCUAUUAAAUUUCCCAAUCUUUUUGCAGUGAUGUGCAUCUAAUAAAUUUUCUCAAAGAAAAAAUGACUGUUAUAUGUCAGCUUGUCAGUUCAGACGAUCAGAGGAGCAUCUUCAUCUUAUCAUAUCUUUGCCUGUAGUGCCCAAUAUUGCUAUGUUAUGUCUAUAGUUGAAGAUGUAGCUGCACAGUGAUUUCUUAUGGCCUUCUCAAUUUCAGUUAUUACUUCAGAUUUUGUCUGAUAUUUGGCUGAGCAAAAAUUAUAUCCAUCAGAUAGCUUGCUAUUUCCCCAGUGGUGCAGAUUUUCUCUGAAAUGAUAUAUCAGCUAAACAUUCUGGAUAUGCGUGUGUUCUUGCAAAUGUACUCAAAGCCUCAACCUAGAUUUUGUCGGAACCAAAGUUCACUUCUGAUAGAGUACGUGUUCUGCCUAUACCUUUUCGGUUGCUACAUGAUUUUGUUUGGGUACUGAGUAUAUAGCAUGUUAAAAAGGGCAAAAUGUUUAAAAAUAUUUUAUAAUUAGGAACAAGAUCAAUUUCGUUCAUUUACAUGAAAACAUUCUUUGCAAGUUCCCCUGCUCUCACAAAAGGAACACUCUGGUAUACUUCCAAAAGCAUUACAUAGGUUAUGACAUGGCACUUAGGUCACUAAGCCCCCAGUGUUUUAUUUUGUACUCUUGUUUAUUCUCUUCCAAUUUUUGAGCCAAGGUCAGCAGUAAAAUGUAUCUAGUCCAUAAUAAUUGUUCUUUACACAACAAACACAAUACAGUUUUAUUUUCCUUCCCGAUUUAUAAUUUGUAUUCCUUGCAAAAAUGACAUGGAACUAUAGAUUAUUCUUGAACCAUAAUAAUGUGCAUAAUGGUGCUACAAUCCGGCACUGUUGUUAUUUCAUAUUAGUUAGUAUAGUAUGAACAGUAUGCAGUUUUGUUUCCUUGGAACCAAGUAGGUACCUGGAGUUUUAUUGCUUGGGAUGUGUAACCUACUCUGAACAUGUAACUCAAUCACACAUGUUUGGAGCAAAGCAUUUUUUUUCAUGUCUAUGCACUUAGUUUGGUACAGUUUUGAGAUUUCAUGUCUAACUUACUUUCACAUUUUGUUGUAUAAUAUGGAUCCAGAGCCUAUGACCAAGUUUCUGUCUGUGUGUUACUUGACUAUCAAUCUGUGUGACGAAAUUGACUAAGGUGCUGUUGUACGUAAUGUGUUUUUGUUAAGUCUGUUUGUAUGGUUGAGAAGUCCAUUGCGUGUGCAUGUUCGGCGGGAGACAUGGUGCUCAUAUGGAAAGAAAAAUAUCUGCAAAGCUAUAUUUAGCUCAAAUUAAGAUUGGAGUUACAUUAUUGCACUUGAUCAUUUUAUUGAAAUAAUUGUCUCCUAACUAGGAUAAAUUGGAAAAUUUCUUUUUGCGAUUAUACGUGCGUUGCACGUGCAUGAUUACUAGUUGGUAACAAAAGAAAGAGAGAGAAAAAAAACU